UAGGGAAUUUUCGUCAAUGGGCGCAAGCCUGAACGAGCGAUGCCGCGUGAGUGAAGAAGGCCUUCGGGUCGUAAAGCUCUAUUGCGGGGGAAAAAAGGCAGCAUCAGGAAAUGGGUGCUGACUGAUGGUGCCCCGCCAGAAAGUCACGGCUAACUACGUGCC
RNAcentral lists this ribosomal RNA (162 nucleotides) under uncultured bacterium. RNAcentral describes it as "partial 16S ribosomal RNA". It matches the Rfam family "Bacterial small subunit ribosomal RNA", at positions 355 to 509 of the family's 1533-position model. The record is from RNAcentral.